GAAAGCAUGGGUAGCGAACAGGAUUAGAUACCCUGGUAGUCCAUGCCGUAAACGGUGGGCGCUAGGUGUGGGGGUCUUCCACGACUUCUGUGCCGUAGCUAACGCAUUAAGCGCCCCGCCUGGGGAGUACGGCCGCAAGGCUAAAACUCAAAGGAAUUGACGGGGGCCCGCACAAGCGGCGGAGCAUGUGGAUUAAUUCGAUGCAACGCGAAGAACCUUACCUGGGCUUGACAUAUGCAGGAUCGCGCCAGAGAUGGUGUUUCCCUUGUGGCUUGUAUACAGGUGGUGCAUGGUUGUCGUCAGCUCGUGUCGUGAGAUGUUGGGUUAAGUCCCGCAACGAGCGCAACCCUUGUCUUAUGUUGCCAGCACGUUGUGGUGGGGACUCAUGAGAGACUGCCGGGGUCAACUCGGAGGAAGGUGGGGAUGACGUCAAAUCAUCAUGCCCCUUAUGUCCAGGGCUUCACACAUGCUACAAUGGUCGGUACAGUGGGUUGCGAGACCGUGAGGUGGAGCGAAUCCCUUGGAAAGCCGGCCUCAGUUCGGAUUGGGGUCUGCAACUCGACCCCAUGAAGUCGGAGUCGCUAGUAAUCGCAGAUCAGCAAUGCUGCGGUGAAUACGUUCCCGGGCCUUGUACAC
Molecule: ribosomal RNA, 636 nt
Filed under: Corynebacterium freiburgense
Lineage: Bacteria; Bacillati; Actinomycetota; Actinomycetes; Mycobacteriales; Corynebacteriaceae
Description: bacterial SSU rRNA
Rfam family: Bacterial small subunit ribosomal RNA
Source: RNAcentral